Molecule: long non-coding RNA, 405 nt
Organism: Raphanus sativus (radish)
Lineage: Eukaryota; Viridiplantae; Streptophyta; Magnoliopsida; Brassicales; Brassicaceae
Exons: 2
Source: RefSeq, a predicted model, not a curated record
GCGGGGUAUACAAUUUUAUGAAAAUAUAUUUAUGAAGCAUUUUAAACUGAAAAAGUUUUUUAAAUUUUAUGAAGCAUUUUUUUAAAAAUAUAUUCUAAAAUCUAUAUUAUCUCUUCGUUCUGGACAGGAGCGAGAAGCCACUCGACUUUGUUGGGAGCUCUCUCUGUCGGUAUUACCACUGCACUCGGUCAAUGACUCGAACCCAGCGGAAAAGAGUGGAAGAGUGCCUGGAGGUUGGAAACGGGUGCUUAGUAGCCACUGUCAAAUAUUUAUCAAACUCAUACAACUGAGUUUUAAAUAUAGUAGAACUCUGUUCUAUCUUCCAUUGGCAUGUUUAUGAGUUACUGUAUUUAUUCUCUAUGAUGAGGUUAGAAAACAUGUUAACCGAGUAUGAUUAUGUUCUUU